GUGCCAGCAGCAGCGGUAAUACGUAGGGGGGCAAGCGUUGUCCGGAAUUACUGGGCGUAAAGGGUGCGCAGGCGGUUUUCUAAGUCAGAUGUGAAAUACCCGGGCUUAACCUGGGGGGUGCAUUUGAAACUGGAAGACUUGAGUGCAGGAGAGGUAAGUGGAAUUCCUAGUGUAGCGGUGAAAUGCGUAGAUAUUAGGAGGAACACCAGUGGCGAAGGCGACUUACUGGACUGUAACUGACGCUGAGGCACGAAAGCGUGGGGAGCAAACAGGAUUAGAUACCCUGGUAGUCCACGCUGUAAACGAUGGAUACUAGGUGUAGGGAGCGAUAGCUCUCUGUGCCGCAGCUAACGCAAUAAGUAUCCCGCCUGGGGAGUACGAUCGCAAGGUUGAAACUUAAAGGAAUUGGCGG
RNAcentral lists this ribosomal RNA (412 nucleotides) under uncultured bacterium. RNAcentral's name for it is "bacterial SSU rRNA". It matches the Rfam family "Bacterial small subunit ribosomal RNA", at positions 505 to 916 of the family's 1533-position model. The record is from RNAcentral.